RNAcentral lists this ribosomal RNA (253 nucleotides) under uncultured bacterium. RNAcentral's name for it is "partial 16S ribosomal RNA". It matches the Rfam family "Bacterial small subunit ribosomal RNA", at positions 524 to 776 of the family's 1533-position model. The record is from RNAcentral.
UACGUAGGUGGCAAGCGUUGUCCGGAAUUAUUGGGCGUAAAGCGUACGCAGGCGGCUUGGCAAGUCGAGUGUGAAAGCCCAGGGCUCAACCCCGGAACUGCAUUCGAUACUGCUAGGCUUGAGUGCGGGAGAGGGAAGCGGAAUUCCUGGUGUAGAGGUGAAAUUCGUAGAUAUCAGGAGGAACACCGGUGGCGAAAGCGGCUUCCUGGCCCGACACUGACGCUCAUGUACGAAAGCGUGGGGAGCAAACAGG